UCAGACUGAAAAUGACCCGAUGCGUGUCAGUGGUGUUGGGUCAAAUAACCGGGCCUACAGUAAACAUGGGCUCGUAAAGCUUAUUGCGCGUCAGACUGUGACGCCGUGAUGAAACCCACGGUCCAACAUGA
This is a small nucleolar RNA of Girardinichthys multiradiatus, 131 nucleotides long. RefSeq annotates it as small nucleolar RNA ACA64. The record is from RefSeq and is a predicted model, not a curated record. NCBI's taxonomy places the organism in Eukaryota, Metazoa, Chordata, Actinopteri, Cyprinodontiformes, Goodeidae. The transcript has a single exon.